GCCUCCCGCCCGCCCGCCGGGCCGGCGGCGCCGUGGGGCGCCCCUCGGGGCCGGGGGGCGCGGCGGACGCUUCUGGAAGGCGGCGGAGCGGGCGGUUCGCUAGCGCGUGCGGCGGUGUCGCGCGGCAGGCAGCCCCCCCCCCCCCCCCCCGCCGGUUUGAAUUCGGAGCGUCGGUUGGCGCGGGGGGGAGGGUGGGGGGUGCGCGGUGCCGGGUGGCCGUUGGGGUGGAGGGAGCAAGUGCCCGAGGCGGUCGGAGGCGGUGGGACAAACGCUUGGGUGCGCUUUGGGGCUGAAACGGAGGUAUGAACCAGGUAGUGACGCCGGUUCCGUCUGCGCGCGGGAGGAACGGUCGGGAUGAACAGCCCCUGCCGCAGACUACGCCGUGAGCAGUCAUCGACUUGCAGUUUUAAGAGAUUGCGAUCCGCUCUUUUCCCUCACUCCCACUCAGUUAAAUCACAGGCUUGCCAACAGGCAGCAAUUUUCUAAGGGGAGCUGCUGCCAAGGGAAGGGAAACUAACCUUGCAGCAGAGCUAGCACUGGAAGCUCCUUAGCUACUGUCCCUCACCCAGCUUCUUGCCAGAGGUUUCCUCUUCUCUAGGUUAUGCUGAAUGUGGAAAGAGGCCUUUGUGCAGCUCUUCUGUAACUGAGGACACCAAAGUCAUUGGUGAGGGAAAGGUCUCUGGUUCCCUGUAAAGAGAAAAGGAAAAACAUCUGUUAGUCUGGUAAUGUCUCUGGGAGGUGCUGUUACUGUUCCACAAGGUCAUCGGGGAUGUAAGAUUUUCUGCAGGUUCUGACAUCUCAACAUAAUGUCCUCAUCACUGGGAGUGACAUCCAUGGUACAACCUCCAGCAGGCUUUGGCUUUCCUCAAGGAAGUAAGAAAACCUUUAGUGGUUUCAGCAGAGCGCUCUGUUGUAUCUCUUUCUAUCUAGGGACAUGUUAAAUGCAACAUUCAAGCACCUUCCUCUGAAGGUGAUGUGUGAUAUGACAACCCUCUGGUCUAAGAUUUAUCAGUAUAAAAGAGAAGUUCAUGAGACACUGCAUACUGGUAAACAAAAUGAUAUGUUGGGUUAAGUAUUUUUAGCACUCAAAAAGCAUACCAAAUCUUAUGACAAAAACGUACAUCAAUUGUAUGUUAAAGGUGUAUCUUUUAAGCAGAUUGGGAAUUACAGCAUGCCAGAUUUUAGACUUUAUGUGAAAGCUCAUUUUGAAAUACAGGACUCUAAAGAGAAAAUCAGGUAUCCAAAAUAUUUGCCACUGUUCCUUUUUUGUAAGUUUAAACUGAAUUAAUUGAUUAAAAAAAGGUGUGGCUAAAACACUUCGGAAUGGAAAUUUAUGUUGCAUCCUGUAAUGAGCAGUUGCCCCAGCCAAAAUGGAGUUUAAAGCAGAAAUGGUAACAGAUCCUACACUAUCAAAGUAAGCAGCCAUUGCUGCAUUAAAGCAUGUCCAAUACAGUGCCAAAGUAGAAAGCACAGCAGGGAAAGGCAAGGUAGUUUACAGCUGAGUGUAUCUUGUUUCUCCCUUUCCUAUCUAUGGAUGAUGAGUAACUACCUAGAAGGCAGUGCAGCCUUGUCGGGCUGGAGAGGAAAUGAAGCUCCUGUGCAGAGUGGUAGUUCUUUUUCUGCCCGUUGGGGAAACAGAUUCUUCACUGAAUAUGUCCAAGUCACUAGACUGAAAGAGUGCAUUAGGUAAGUAUGGAGCUCCACUAGUCCUUAGUCUGGGGUACUGUAGAGCAGUACUGCGACUGCCCAGUGAUCAGUACAGAAGGAUCCUUUUUUCUUUGCAGAACAUCUGUUUUGUCCUUUUAUUCUGGCUAGCCCUGGGUGAUUGUGUAUGCCUUUUAAGGUUUAUCACUAGGUAGGAUUUUUGUAUAUACAGCAGAAGUUUAUUUAUAUACUGUGUGUAUUUGAUGCUUUAUUUCUCUGUCCAUAUAUGUAUACAUCCAUUUACAUCAUAUAUCUGGCAUGUUUCAGUGAGGAUCUUAAAAUAAUGCAUAUAUUUAUAACACUUCAUUAAGCCAUCCAGUAUUCUUAAGACCAAGGCAAAGAUCUCUAUUUCUGUUUUAUGUUAAUAAAUGCUGGUACCAGCAAUGUUGAGUGGUUAGGGAUGUGAAUCACUCCUAGAACCAGAAAGAAAUGCAGGAGUCUUAAUUAUCCUGUCACAAUUUACCACAUGGCCACAGCUUACUGUUCACAGUAAUUUUAUGGGUUAUGUGACAUUAAUAUGUUUUUAUUUAGGUUUUCAUGCUAUUUAAGAGACACUUUCUUAGAAAUUGUCUUUUUAAAUUGAUUCUUUUGUUUGGCACACUGCCACCUAGCUGCAGUCUUCCCUGAACAGUCUUGUAGUUAGUGUGAUGCUGGGAGCAAGAUGAGACAUUUGGUGGGUGAAAUUUACUUGGGUUCACCUGGAAAGUUCUUCAGCAAUCAAGUUGUUGAUGGGAGGAAAAGACAAAAUAGAAAAACAGUAUUAUUAUUAUUGUUACUAUUCAUACAGUGACCAGUUCCCCCAUCAUGAUAAUUUUGAAGCAAGUUAUGCUGUUCUGACACUAACGUUAUUUUCACUCUGAAAAUACCUGACAGCGAGGGAUGAAACAUUAGUGGAAAAGUCAGAUUUCCCCAGGCUUAUUUUAAUAGCUAGGCACUGGGGAAGGAAACAAGGAAGAAAUGGAAAUACACAGAAUGUGGAUUUACUGAAUGUUUGUUUGGAGGGAAUGUGAAAGCUGAUCAUUACAGUAAUUCUCUGUUUGGGAAAUAAAAACCAUGUGUUAGAGUGAAGAUGUGGAAAUAAGUUAUAUCAAGAAAACCUAUUAUUUUGAGUUGAGGUGGAUGUGACAUCAUUUAGGGAAUUACAGCCAGGCUGCAAAAGCAUUAAAUGGAUAUUUCACUAACAUAGGAACUACAUACUUUAAACAGUACUUCAAAUUAUGUUUUUCUAACUCUAACAUUUACUGUUCUCUUAUCUUAUCCCUACAUGUCUGUAUAUCACAUGAAGCCAAAGGCAUAAAUGGGGAAGCUAUGUAAGCUAUGUGUAAAGGUACAUGCAGAAUGCUGAGGCUUUAGGUAGGGAGGAAUAAUACCUUUUGUCAGAACAACUAGUAUUUGAAAACUGACAAACUUUUGGCUUUUUGGCUCAUCUAUCCUUUUUUCUCAAGCUGUAUAUAACUGCACAUUCAAAGCUUAUCUGCAGCCCUAAACAAUCCUAUCUAAAGCAACGAUACUGUUUCUAAAGAACUGUGAUACAGGGAAGUAUGGCGGCAAGGCAGUCCAGAUCAUCUCUAUCUGUCCUCUAGCCAGAUAUUUAUAUUGUAUUCUUAGCUGUGCUGUCCGAUUGUCAGUAAAUCAUUGCAACAGGUGUCUGAAUGAGCUGAUUUGUCUUGUUUCUACAUGUACAGAAAAACACAUAGUAGGUUUGGACCCAGAUGCCAGGUAGGUUCAAAUCUUGCUCAGAAAAGACUGAAAAAGGGUGUGAAUUUUAGAAGGAUGUGUUGCCAUGAAUGAAUCAUUUUGACUGUUUCUUGAAUUGUGCAGUUUCUGGACUCCUCCUUCUCACCCCACCAAAGGGCCAGUUGUUCUAUAUAAUGGCAGGUGCCUGAGCCAAACAUUUAAAUAUUUGCAUUAUAGCACAGUAGUAAGUCUAGAAAGUGCUACAUGCUGGGGUGCUUGUCAGUGGGACUGUGUGGAAGAUCCCAAAAGUUCACUUAAUGCAGUAAAAGUACAAUGCAAUGGAAAGCCAAGACUUCCACAUCUAUGAGGAAGUUAACUCCAGUUCACAGAGGCUACUGUCUCUUUUUUCUCCUUAACACUUUUUAAACAUAAAGCCUUUGAAUAUGUGUGUGUGUGGAGAUGUAUGAUGUAUUUCUGGGUCCUCUACAUGCUGUUUUGAUUCACAUUCUUAUCUGGGUAAAAGAUAAUAUUUGAUACAUACCAUGUGCAUGUAUAAAGUCAUUUCUUUACUUAGCAGCUCAUACAGAAAUUCUGUCCAGUUCUUUUCAUCCUUCCUCUUCUCACUGUGUCUGUGUGGCAAACACCCUGGGGUUUCUCUGUUUUUUGAAGUAUAUUUGCAUGGUACUAUAUAUAAUGAGUGAUUACAUUGUUUUGUAGCUGUUUGAAGGAGGUCACAAUAAUGGAUUUUUUCCUCUUUUUCUUUUGUUUAUGGUGAUUAUAGUAGGAUUUUGCUUUAGUCAUUUUAGGAUCAACUGCCAUAUAAAUGGAAAAGUGUAUCUACGAAAGAAGCACCUAAUUGUGACAAAUGGUUGGAAGAUUUUGAAUGUGAUGUAAUUAAUACCUUUUUUCCUGUAAACCCUUCCCUAGAAUUGUAUUUGAUUUCUGAGGUGUAAGCAUGGAAAAAACAACUUUCUUUGGACAGAGGGAAGUCAAGAAUUUUUUGAUAGUGGGUAAAACCAAAAAAUUUUAGACAUCUCUAACAUCCUGGGAUACUAUUAUUCAGAUAGCAGUGCUUUUCCUAUUCUUGACUAGGACUUUGGAACAAUCGAACAGGAAAUACCCAAUGGGAUUUUAUUUUUAAGAAGUUCUUGAAAACUCUCUGGAUAUCAUUCAGUGCAAAAAGUAAUCAUCAAAGCUUUUCAGUACUUAAUCAGAGUACAUGUUGAAGUGUCCAUGUUUCUGUGGCUCACCUGCUUUUUUCCUCUCUUUGUACCACUGUGGUAAACUGGCAGGAUACAUAAACCAUUACUCUGUUGACUGUUUAAGUUGGUGCGGUUCCAUACUAAUGCAAAAUGGCACAAAGGGAGGGAAGAAAAAAACUGGAGGUCCGUGAUCCUCAACACAUGCACAAAGCUGCCACCAGAGCCUGCCAGUGCUCUGGUGUAGAACAGGAUAUGUAGAACAUAUACAUGGAUGUACAAGAAAUCUUGUUUCUUCUGCAUGGCUGGCAAUCAUUCAGAGCCCCUGCUGUAGGUGGAGGAAGGGGACUGGCACAGAGCUGGAAGCACAGAAGAUGCAUGAAACACGUGGAAGGACCGGAAAGUGGGAAUGUGGGCCAAAAGGAAGGUGAUACCUACAACCAUUGAGGAGCUGAACAUAGAAGGAGCCUCACAGAGGAGAGUGUGGAGCAAAGGAAGGAGGAGUGAUUACAAUGCAGAUAUUUAUAGGAAGAUGAGAGUGGGUGGCUGGAGGAGCCCUGGUAUUUGAAAAAAGAAAAUGGGGACACACAGAACUGAUAGGAGAUUUAGAGUAGGGGAAUCACAGGGAGAUCUUUAAAGAGAAGAGAAGGGAAGGUGGCCUACAAAGAGUUUGCAAGAGAGAGAGAUGAAAGCAGCCUUGGUACCUGCAGUAAACUCAGCCAGUUGAAGCUAUGAAACACCCAACUCCCAAGUUCCUAUGCCCUUUCUUCUACAAAUGCUGCACUGAUAGUGUUAUUAGUCUGUGAAUUCCUAUGUAUUUACAUUAAAUGCUUUUGAAAGAUAUAAAGAUAGACUUCGGGAUUGAACAUCGGAAUCAGGGCCUUGUAUAACAUUGAUGUGUUUGUAACAUGUAUUGGGUUGCUUUCCUUCCACUCCUUGGCAAGGCUAGUUAGCUGACUUUAGGGCAGGCACGGCUAUUUUGGGAUGUGUUUGCCUUCAAGGCGAGCAGCUUAUUUGAGAGUUUUAUGUUUAUAAACCCCACCUUAAAAGGAGUGUCAGCAUAGACCCAUGUCAUGUAGCAUCUUUCUGGAAGAAGUGCAGAGCAGGGUGUUACAUCAUUUAGCUUCAUCUGUCACCACUGAAAAGAAAGAGGUACCUGCAGAAGACACUUGCUGACCCUUGCCUCUAAGCUGGGAGAAGCCCGUCUCUGUUUGUUGAUCACACGGGGAACCUUAGACCCUCUUAUAUGGCUAAUGUAGUUGCCUACGCUGGAUGGUUUGAAUAUCCCAAAAGUUGCUGUCAUUAGAGCUGAAGUAUUUCAAAACAUGUGGUUGCUGAUGGACUUGCUUUUUUAAAAGCCUAUCUGAAAGAAGUUCAAAUGUGUAGUUUAUAGGUCUGGUUCAGAUCUCAGCUAAACUCUUGUAAAUCCAUAGAAAGGUUUGUUUUGGUAUAGUAGCUAAAAAGGUGAGAUUCUCAGCAAUACAAAAUCAGUGCAUUUUCAUAGAAGCCAAAGGAUCUAUUUCUGUUAACACAGGCCUCUGAGGAUUUGGCUACUUUUCCUCAGUAAUUAAUGAAGGCAGUAGGAGAUAAGGAGAGUGUGUUCGUACCACCCAAAUUUAAUCUCCCAGGCAUCUCUCUGAAGCUGAUUAAGAGUAAUAGACUCCUCCAGACGGUGGUUCAAAGCACCUAAGUUAGCCUCCUGCUAUAUUAAUUAUUUUAUGUAUAUUUUAUAUAUAUGUGGAUAGUUAAGGUUGCAAAGCAAAAGUAUCUUUGCAUUGAUUAUGAUUAGAGCUGCUGUUACAGUAGAGCAGAACCCUGGGAAGUUACUUGCAGGAAAGAGGAAACUUUGGCAAACAAAGGCUAAUAUGAAAUCUCAGGCUUAGUAUUAUGUUUAUGUACAUUUUUGGUCUGCAUUUGGCUUAUUUUGCAUAUAUGAGCCCCUGAGAUAGGUGAAACAGAAGGUCGAAAGUAAAUCGAUACUAAUCAUUUUGGUCUAACACCACUUGGAAUGUGUCAGGAGAAGGAACAAUGGUAUAGAAAGCAGCAUUUGGUGAAGUUGAAUUUGUCUCUAAAACAGUUAUGUGAACUAUGGUAAAAACAGAUGGAGAAUGGAAUAUUCCGAGAGGAAGAAAAUGACAAAAAGGAGAAAGCAAUGCUUUACUUUGAAAAAUAUUUACUUUAAGUUUGACCACUUGGAAUGGGUUUCAAAAGCAUGAGUCAAAAGCAAUAUAUUUGUACCUUUUCACUCGCAUAAUCAUUACUAGUUUUACUUUGCAGGGACCACAUCUUCAUUUGUAGAACAGAUAUGCAUUUUCAAAUGUAAUAAUGAUUAAUGCAGACUUUUAGAAAAUGUUGUUAUGGAAAGAAGUGUCAGGUCUCUUGGGUGGUGAUUCUAGGAACUAUUUCUUUGAACUUGGGAACUGAACAUGAUUGAAAUGAUUGGAGAGAUGAAGACUUUGUAAAGGAUGCUCUUUUGCUUGUGGAUUGCCAUGAAGAAUUCAGCUGUCCUCUUAUUUCUCUUCCAAUUUUAUGUCAUCUCAAAAACUUGCAGCUCAGCUUAUUUGUAACAGAGAGUAUAAUCUGCCUCUUCCAUACAGUGCCAAAGUUUUAGGAUAAGUCAUCGGACUAUGCCUAAGGAUAUGUAUAUGUAUGUAUACAUUAACAUUAGCAUUAUAUUCAACUUUCUUAGGCCAGGACAGCAUUAUCCUCAGGUGAAUUUGAAUCAAAUACUACUCUUUAGCAAUGCUCAUUUUACCUAGAAAUCUUCAGAAUGGGAUAUUUUUGUUUAUUUGCAUUUUCAAGACAUAACUGUUAAUUCUGAGGCAAAAAUACUCUUUGCUAUCUCAACUUUGGACAAUUGAAUUACAAACUGAGAACGACUUAAAAGCAAUAUGAAAAGUUAGAUUAAGUAAGCUGUUUUGAAAACUUUAUCCUAAGUUCAGAAUUACUGUGGUGAUCAAAAAAGUUUAUUUGUGGAAUACUUUACUUCAGAGCUUUAAUGUGGAGAAUUUACUCCAGUUUUACAGUUGUCCUGCAAUACGUCAGCAAAGUUCUUCCCACUGUAUUUCUUCAGAGAACUUUUUUCCAUGUAGUAAGAAAGCUCGGUUUGCAUUUCUUGAGAGUAUGUAUCUGAGAGGCAGCAUCAAAUGCAACAUUAAGUUCAUUUUAUCAUUGAAUUUGAGGUGUAGAAAUUUGGGCUAAUCUGUUGAGAAGGUCUAGGCUAUUUCAACUCUUAAUAUCACUGUGGGUCAAUAGGUGCCAGCAGAUUUAUUAUCAGGUAUGUAGAUGUUUCUCAAAUAUAGCUUGUUAUUUACUGCAGUCUGUCCAAAUAACAGAAUCUUUUGUGGUAGUUCGAUUGCAUUUAGUGUCCAAGGCUGUUCUUUCCAUCUCUAGCUCAGUACCUCGCCAAAGUAAGAACAAGUUUAGAAUUUUGUCCAGGUGAAUUGCAACUGUUCAGAGGAAUUUCUGUAAAAAACAUACCUGUAAUACAUGGGAAAUACGGUGUCUUUUGUUAAUACUUUCAGACACAGAGUAGCUUGAGUUAUGACAGAGCUAUUUGAAAAAUAAUUAGGUUAUAGAAAGACAUUAAAAUGACAAACUAUUUAGAAAAGUCACAGAUAACCUGUAUUAUGUAAGUAUUGCUCUUAUGUUGCUCAGCUUCUUUGGGACUGUUCUUGUGGACAAAUUAAGCGUAUGUACAUGUUUGUAAGGCUAGAGCCUAAAAUAUUAUGUGAAGUAAAGAAGAUAAAGCAGUAGAUGGAGACAUUAUUUUGACUUCUGAAAAUUUAGUGACAGAGGAAAAGGCAUGUGAGGCCAAAGGUUAAUUAAAAGAUUCCAGCCAUAUCUACAAGUUGAUCUGCAAAGAAGUUGAAUGGAUUCCCAUACGUUUGUGUGUUCGCACCAAGUAUUUGUACUGAUUACUACUGGAAGGUGUAGAUUUUAUUUAUUGCUUUGCCAAUAAUGCUUUGCACACAGACACAAGAGAGAGAUAUUUAUGCUUGUAAUUAAAAAGUAACUUGGCUACCAUCUCUUAUCACCACUUGAGUUUAUAUGUACAGAAGCUAUACAUUUAAUAUUGUUUUUUUACUUGGCUCUUUUCAUCUUGUUUCUUACUGAUUUUGGUAAGACAAGACCAAGAUAAAAGCAUGGGCUCCCUCUGCUGGCUGUUGGUGUUGCUCUGAGCCCUUGUUCAGGACAGUCAGCAGACACUUUAGACAAUAAAAUUGAGAAGACAAAAAUUGCAGUUUAUUUUAAACAAUAAAACUCUGGGACAAAAAUGUAAUCAAGUGGCUAUUAAAAUAGAUUUACUCUAGCAUUUAAAAUAUAACUGCUGUGUGUAUAUAUAUACAUAUAUAUAUAUAUAUAUAUAUAUAUAUAUAUAUAUGCUCACCUUUGAAAUGCCCACAGAUUCUGAAGUAUUAGUAUUAUAUCAGAAAAACAGACAGACCUAGAAAGAAAAUACCAGGAAGAAACAAGUUUUUAUUGUCUGUGAUUUCAGAUUUCUCUUAGGUUUAAUUUGUAGCACUAUGUAAUUUAGUUACAAUAAUUUUAGUUAUAAUAGUGUGUAUGUAACUUUUUUAGCCUUUUGAUACCUAAGCGAGCAUGAUUGUAGUGCUCAGAGACAGGACAGUAUUUCUUCAGGUUUGUGAACCAUCCCUGUCUUCAGCGUUUCAGAAGUCACUGAGACUUUGCCAAAGCAGCAGAAUGCAGACAUACUUAGCGUUUGUUUCAUACAUGCAGAUAUAAAAAGCUGGGUAUUCUUAGCUGCAUCUAUGUGAUUACUUCAGAAGUACCCAUUAUAAAUAGCAUUUAUUAGGUAGCUGUGCACAGUUCACCUGCAUUCAGCUCAUUAAGGUACUGUUAGUAGACAGUAUUUACCACUUGAAACUUGGAGAUAUUUAAAGUCUAGACUUUGUGCAGGCAAACUAGUGGAACAAACAACCUGCUUUGAAAGCAUCCACACAUUAGGAACUUCUCUCUCCUUUACGCCUGGGUUUGGGACACCUCAUGGAUAAUAUCUGGGUUUGAGAGGCGAGGUUUCAAGAUUUGGCCAGUCCUUAAAGGGAAGGGGGUUGUUUUUUCUGGGAGAAAAAUUUUUAUUAAUUGAGCUAGGAUGGUAGUUAUGAAGGGCACAGGGGUCAAUGCACAUUGAGCCCAAUAUAGGUUCAGGAAUGUACUGCCUUCCAUGGUUAUCUUAACUCCAUAGCUGUAGAAACCAAUAUUUCCAUUUGUACUGUUUUGCUCAUUUUACUUGAAGUCAGUGGAAAUUUUGACUCACGAGGGAUAUGCUGUGACACAGAGCAGGGCUGUUUACUUAUCUCUCUGUAUCUAUACUGAUAUACCUCUGCUGGUUUUGAGACAGCAGAUACAUCUUUCAGGCCAUAUGCAAAGCUGAGAUAGCUCAAGUCAGUCAAUAGCUGAGUGGCAUUAGAUAGUACUGCACAGCACAGAUACACUUGAAGAAUCAAGGCCACUACUCAGAAAUUGCUUUCUGAAACCAAAAAAGGGAUAUGGACUUAGGUUCUAAACUUACACAUGUCCUUUUAUUGCCUUGAACAAUUCCAAUAUACUGGAGAACGUAUUAUGCUGUUAAUACAAAUGCCUGGAUUUUCAACAAGUGAGUUAAAAUAUGAAUAGGAUUUCCCUCCUCUCAGUGCUAUGUGAGUUUUAGUUUAUUUGGUCCCAUCACAAAAUAAAAAAAAUAGUCUUCCAUGUACUGUCUAAAAAAAUCUCGGGAGAGGCAUGUGUGCUGUUCAUUAAAAUACAAUGUAUAAUCUACAAAAUCUGUUUUUUUAACUUCAUUUUAUAUUCAGUGUAUCUGCUGUUAUGCAAGCAUAAAUUCUUUUUAAAUGAUUUCUUCUACACAUCAGGUUUGUCUGCUGUAAUAAUACCAUGGGAGAAGGUUUGCUGAAAUGCACUGUAGCCAACCCUGUAACUUGUGCCUUUAUGGUCAUCAAGUAGGUGUUCCAGUUUAUAGGUCUUCUGGAAGUAGACGGAUGAACCAACACCACUGGCUUGCCU
Molecule: long non-coding RNA, 10601 nt
Organism: Dromaius novaehollandiae (emu)
Lineage: Eukaryota; Metazoa; Chordata; Aves; Casuariiformes; Dromaiidae
Exons: 2
Source: RefSeq, a predicted model, not a curated record